GCCCGGUUAGCUCAAUCGGUAGAGCGUGAGACUCUUACGAGUACGCGAUCUCAAGGUUGCGGGUCGACCCCCGCAUCGGGCU
This 82-nucleotide transfer RNA is filed under the name Fusarium fujikuroi. RNAcentral's name for it is "tRNA-Lys". It matches the Rfam family "tRNA". Rfam says of the family: Transfer RNA (tRNA) molecules are approximately 80 nucleotides in length. Their secondary structure includes four short double-helical elements and three loops (D, anti-codon, and T loops). Further hydrogen bonds mediate the characteristic L-shaped molecular structure. tRNAs have two regions of fundamental functional importance: the anti-codon, which is responsible for specific mRNA codon recognition, and the 3' end, to which the tRNAs corresponding amino acid is attached (by aminoacyl-tRNA synthetases). tRNAs cope with the degeneracy of the genetic code in two manners: having more than one tRNA (with a specific anti-codon) for a particular amino acid; and 'wobble' base-pairing, i.e. permitting non-standard base-pairing at the 3rd anti-codon position. The record is from RNAcentral. Lineage: Eukaryota; Fungi; Ascomycota; Sordariomycetes; Hypocreales; Nectriaceae.